Molecule: small RNA, 129 nt
Filed under: Planktothrix serta PCC 8927
Lineage: Bacteria; Bacillati; Cyanobacteriota; Cyanophyceae; Oscillatoriales; Microcoleaceae
Description: HEARO
Rfam family: HNH endonuclease-associated RNA and ORF (HEARO) RNA
Source: RNAcentral
GUCAGCACCCCGCUCUGAAGAGACGGGGCUUCAUGCCUCUAACUUUAGAUAGCUGACCAGCCUCAGCCUAACGGCUACGUUUUCUGGAUCAUAAUACCCACGAAUGCGACGCUAGUUUGUGGCUCUAUU